AUUGAACGCUGGCGGCAGGCCUAACACAUGCAAGUCGAGCGAGCGGCGGACGGGUGAGUAAUGUAUGGGGACUGCCCGAUAGAGGGGGAUAACUACUGGAAACGGUGGCUAAUACCGCAUACUAUCGGAUAACCCAUAUGGGAUUAGCUAGUGGGGGGGGUAAAGGCUCACCUAGGCGACGAUCUCUAGCUGGUCGGAGAGGAUGAUCGGCAAAACUGGGACUGAGAACCGGCCCAGACUCUAAGGGAGGCAGAGGUGGGGAAUAUUGCACAAUGGGCGCAAGCCGGAUGCAGCCAUGCCGCGUGUAUGAAGAAGGCCUUAGGGUUGAAAAGUACUUUCAGCGGGGAGGCGUUACCCGCAGAAGAAGCACCGGCUAACUCCGUGCCAGCCGCCGCGGUAAUAC
RNAcentral lists this ribosomal RNA (403 nucleotides) under uncultured bacterium. RNAcentral's name for it is "partial 16S ribosomal RNA". It matches the Rfam family "Bacterial small subunit ribosomal RNA", at positions 29 to 526 of the family's 1533-position model. The record is from RNAcentral.